GGGGCUCGCGGCGCGCAGGCGGCCGCGUCCCGGCGACAGCCCCGAGAGCAGCGGGGCGGGUUGAGGAGCGGCGUGUCUUUGCUCCUCGGUGCUCCGGUACCUGUCCGCGGCGCUCAGAUUUUGGAAACCUGAGCUGAAGUAUCGUGUGACUUACAGCGUGAUAACUACACCAAAAGUGAGUUUUCUGUUUCUGUUGGUCUUGUAUCAGUUGUUCCGGAUGACUGGCAACGCUGCACGUCUGACUGUGAUGGAUUGCCUGCUGAAUCUCUGUGGCUUGUUCAAGCAUCAGUUUGACAGGAUUCAUCUUACCGCUGCAUGUGUGUGUUUUGAGGAUAGUUUGAACAAAGAUAUUGAGUAUAUUUCCUGGGCUGUGCAGUGGAAGACUUGGUGGUGCGGAGGUGGAAACUUAAGUGAAAAAUAAAACUCAUUGAAGUGUUGCCAAAUUCUUCUUGUGCAGGUGUUGGUUUUCCAUAGGAAAUGUCUGACUUGCAGUGCAAGCUGAGCUAUCCAAAUUCAAGUGCUACUGAGUACAAGCUCUGUGAGCUGAACCUUAUGUUGCAUAUUCCUCUUUUCACAUUUCAAAUGUAGGGUUUGUGGUUGCCACCAAUGUCCUCUGCAAUGUGGACUGAUUACCUGCCCAUCGGUCUGCACACACUCACCUUGUUUGAGGGAUUGCUCCUCUGCUUUGUUGAAAUGUUUUGUUGAGGUUGUUUACAGAAUACUCAAAUCUGCAACGCAGCACAGAAGUUAAAAAAAAAAAAAUGCUGAUACUUGAAUUUGUCACUGCACUCUGGCAUUAUCUAUUUAGAGAAAUGUUUGUGUAAUGGAUGCAGACAGCUUUUGGUUAUUUGAAGAGCGCAGAUGAAAAGCAACACAAAGAGUGUUGGUAAAUACCAUUCUCACUUGAUUUAGUUUUUCUUCCUCAGCCAAAAAAUACUGAUCUUAGCUACUUGAGUUUUUCAAGCACCAGGCUUAUCUGGUGACAGUAUGCAGCCAGGAUUAAGUUAUAGUUCUGUGUAUUUUCUUCGUUUUCUCCAGCAGCUGAUUCUUGCUCUGUCUAGAGUAGGGAAUGGAGUCAAAACUGGGACAUGUGUUGCUUGCAUCUAUGUACUAGGGGUGGUUUCAUCUGGCUGUAAAGUUUCUGCUCUUAUUGCAGCCCCUUCACCACCACCCCCCACCCCGAGUUACAAGGGCUCUAGUUGUCUUAUUUACUAUUUUCUUUGUGAGCUUUUUGGUCAUAGGGUGAGUGCAGCAGGUUUCAUUGUUUGACAUUUCUGGGGCUCUGUAGCCAGACCACGCUAUUUCCUUCUCCGUUCUGCUGCCUUCACAAUUGUCUUUAGAGUCUGUGGCCAUAGAAGAGAGAGCAGCAGCCUCAGUUAGAUGUUUGAGUGCAGUGUUUGUGGGCAGCUCUGGAAUACAGCAUUACCAGUGACAGACUGCUGUACAGAAAAUACAGUUUGUGUUUUCAGAAAGCUGAAAAGAAUUGCUGCAGUCAGGUAAGCCUUGGUGGUUGUGGAAGGCAGUGAGAGAAGUAGGUGGGGUAUGAAAAUGUAUCAGUGAGCCUCCAGUUGUCAACAGACAUGAAAUGAAGCUGCUGGGUUCUGCUCAUGGUGUUUGUUAUUCCUUGUCCAUCCAGAAAAGUUCUAGCUCCGAGUACAGUGAAUGGGAGACACUUCUUUUUAGAUGCUCCUUGUCAGCCUCUGCAUGUCAAGGAUUUUUGGGGAUUAUAUGUGAUUCAUCAUGCAGAAAGUUAAAUAGUCAACAAGAGCUGGGUCACUGAAAGCUGUAAUGAAGCUAACUCCAGCAAACUCCGGUGGAGAGAGGGAGCUGAGGGUCUGAGCUUUAAGUGUAUUUAAAGCUGUUUGAUUGGUGCUCUUUGCAAGGAGCAGCAGUGAAUGUGAAGAUAUUUUGUCUUUUAAUUCACUAGUGUGAGCCUGAGCUUCAGAAGUCUUGAUUGAAUAUGAAGCAGGUAUUGAAUAUGCUGUCUGCUUUUACCGGAGGGUCUUUGCAAACAGUGAGGCACGUAACCAGAAAACUCAACGCAGGCUGGUGAGUUUUUGGCUGAAAGGGUAAGGUUAACUCCUGUCUGCUCCUGGGUAUUAGGGAUAAUUCAGUUCUGCCAGUAAUAAGCAGCAGAAUGUCGGUAAAUUCAGCUGUUUUUGAGCUGCUCACAGGUUACCGUGGGAGAAGUUGUUCUUGCAUAAAUGGAGUGAAAAAACUUAUCCUAAUUAAUCAGUAGCCUGAAUCCCAUUUGAUUUAGCUGAUGAGACAGCGCUGGCUGCAGGAGCAGCCCCAGACCAAGGCUGAGUAGACCUUUUAGGUUCUUUUUUUUCUUUGUUCUCUCUGUUAGUAUUUCCUUCUUCUCCUGCAUAAAUCUGAGCCACAUUCAGAUUAUUUUGUCACAGCACCCUGUGUUCUGUUCUCUUUUGUCUUGAUGGCCUUCCUUAUAGUCCUCACUUAACCUUUUAGAUGGCUCACAUGAUGACACUGAAAAAAUCUUCAUCCGUUUCUUGAGUUGCUUUCUGGACUGCCCCAAAGCACUUUCCAUCACCUUGCUCAUCACAUAGCAGUUUUAGAUCUUGCACAAAGGAAUGAAAGCAAGACAGUUUCUCUCAGACCUGUCUAUGCAAGCUCAGGCACAUAUUGAACCUAAAUAUUACCUAAUUUCUCAUACUUGCAUGACAAUGAAACCCACAUACUCAAAACAAAAUCUGAAAUGCCAGUGCAGCAGUAUUGUUUAACUGUGAAUCUGAAAAAUAAAACAUGCAACAAAAAUGUAUUUUUAAAUCUUAACCAAGUAUUUCACAGGAGGAAUAUUAAGUUAUGUAAGAAAUAAUUUCCAGGUUGAUACUAAUUCAUGGUUAAUUUACAAGUGGUAUGGAAAAAAAGAAAGAUGCUUUCAAAAGCCCAAGGACCCAUGUUACCUAACUGUGGAUCAGCACCUCAGGAGGCCUGUGAAGGUCACAUGUGGUUGAGUCUGUUCUGGAGAACCUCUGUCUUCUACUGAAUCUGGGAAAAGCCUUUUGUUUUUGCACAUCUCUGUUCCCUGUCAAAUAUGAGGUAUGGAAAAAAGGGUUGAGCUUGUGUUUUAAACAUCCUGUAAACAGAAAGGAGUGCUACUUGAAAGUUUACCUCUGUGCUGUUAAGAGUUAUGUCACCACUUACACUAUGAAGUCUUGCCUACUACAGACUUUAGAACUAAUGCUGUUUUUGUGUGGCUAUCCCGUAAAAGUGGCCUGCUAUACAGCAACAAAUAAAUGACUGUAAGAAGGCACCUGAUCUCUAGUAGUAAUCUGUGUCAUCACACCAGCGUAUUGGAUCCAGAGUUCCUGUUGUAAGGUAAUGCACUCAAGUUAUUUUACACAGCUGUUAUGUAGCCUCGUUAAUAGCAGUGUCUCCCACAUUACAGCUGGGAGCAGAAACUGAAGAGCUUCAGCCACAAUGUCGAUUCCUAUGGUAGGGAUUCCUCUAGAGAGCAGUGCCAUGUGUGCUGUAUGGGAGCGAGGACAGUGCAACAAGGAUGUUAUACUAAGGCUGGCUUCUUUCACUAUUAGGUUUCUUCUGUGAUGUUCUUCUUUGUGCUGCAUUAAAAAAAAAAAAGCCUAAAAGCGCUAGACCCAUUUCCCUGUUGAAGGCAUUAACGUCAUCAUAUCCAACAUCCUUUGGUUUGAUGCUCAGGGCUGUUAAUACCUUGGCUAGAAAGUGAUUGUGUUCUGUCACGUGACGCAGAAGCUAUUUAAACUGAACCUUGGCUGCAAAUGAAGAAGUCACAAGGAACUUGAGCUUACUGAGAAAAAAAAUCCAGUAUGUUGGAAGUGCUUCUUACUUUAUUGUUCUUUGUGCUCCUCUUGUAGGCAGAGGCAGAAUUUGUUCAUCCAGGGAACUCUGGUGCAUCCCAGCAACAUGCUGCCUGCAUAUGCAUUGGGCAGUCUUGCAGGCUCUGGGGGCAGGAGAAUUGUGGUCCAGCGAGUGCACUGAAGAGUUAGAAAAGCACAUGUUCUGGGCUGCAUCCAGCCAUUCAGGAACGAGACCAUCCAGCUGCGAUGUUAGCAGCCCUGCCUUGUAGGCUGAGUGUGUGCCUUGCAGAGCCAUAUGAUACUCCCUGUGCUCAUACCCGGGGAAGCAGGAUGGGUCUCACAUGAUGCCUUCCUCCUGAGAGCUAGUGGGCUGGACAUGGACUGGGGAAGCCCAUCUGCCCUAGGGAGGAAGUGAGGUGGGAAGUGCUGAAGGAGAGCUGUGCCUAUAUAAUAUCUUCUCCUCUACUACUGCAGGGAACAUUCAUAGGAGUGGAGACAGAUGUUUGCCAUGUUGGCUCUCAUGGAUUUCUGCUUGGCAUGACUCUACUGAAGGCAGCACAAGUAUGUCAGUAUUGCACUGCAGAAGAGCUGGCUUGCUUUGUUCUUGCAGGUGCAGCUGGGCCUUCAAACUACACAUCUGAAGCCCUGCUCACUUGUAUUGUUCAAAGCCUUAGAUUAUAUAUAUAUAUAUAUAUAUAUAUAUAUACAGGAAUAGGUGUACUUAUUCAGGCCAGUGUUUUUUUUGUUGCCUCAGAUUUCAUAAAAUAUAUAAAGAUGUAGAGUUCUAAAAAUAAAGCAGCAAUUUUCUGAGCGAUAGCAAAUACUUGAGUUAAUGUUCUACUGAACACCAGAUGUGAGACCCAGAGGCAGGGCCAGCAAAAUAUUUAUUGAAGGAGUAUCUGAGCAAGUUGUUCUUUUGAGGCCUACAGCUCCUGAGCUCCAGUUAGUUAACUGAGGAAGUGUUUGUGGGUUGGUUUUAAUGACUAAUUCCAUUGCCAGCAGUGUCUUCAGGAAAAAAAAAAAAAGCCAACAAAAAGCAGCAAAUGGAAGGAACAGGUGGUACACAACUCUUUGUGAAAACAAAACAACACAUAUUGUAGAACUAGAAGUAUCUGCUUCUACUUAAUGAUAAGUCUUCAAACUCUGAUGCAUUUCAUUUAUGUGGAAUAAAUUACUUGACCAGCCAGUAGGCUCUUAAAAUACUUUUUGUUUGUUUGUUUUAAUGUUUUAGUAAUUCAGUGAGGGUAAAAACAUCCCUUGUAACCUCUUUCAUUCCAUACCAGGAAGUCCAGAGACAGGAGGAGGAUAAUUUAGGUUAGAUACUCCUUCAUAGGAAUGAGUGGGAGCUGUGCUCUUGACUUCAAUGGGAGUAGUAGCCAGGCCCUUUCUGUGUAGGUAUCACAGCAGUGAUGUCUUCUGAGGCAGAGUUAAACAUGCCUUUUAAUUCUAACUCAAAGUUUAAAUUAAUCAAGUUGAGUCUCUUCUGCGAGAGAAAAUAUCUUUUAUUUGAUUUAACAAGAUAAAAACAGGCAAUUUUGCAAGUGAGCGGUGAAGGCCAAGAGAUCAGUUUCUAUUUCCAAAAGCUUUUCUUUCUUCCUACUUUUCUUCUUUUUGUCUUCCAUCUAUAGAUGUUAUAUUUAUCUGCAGUGUUUACUUCAGUUACAGCCUCUGAGCUUAGUGGCUGUAAUGCCUUUUAUGACUUGAGUAUGUUUUGUUAUGUGUGGGGUGAGAGCAUUUCAGUGUGCACAGCUUACAGAUGGAAGCUUUUCUCUUACUUACAGUCUCGGUUCAUAUCCUGUUCAUAGAUUUUUAUCUCCGUUCCUUGUAUCCUCAUACCUUUCUGGAACUAUCACCAGUCAAUUGAUGAUGCAUCAAGAGUCUUUCAUUGCUCCCACGAAGUCUGCUUUGGUGUUUGUUUUUUGUUUUGGUUUUCUCCACUGAUACCAGUAACAGCAGAACCAGGGUCAAAACAAUCUCUGAUAGGGCACCGUGAAGGUCUUACAGCAGCUCUGCUGAGAGGAAUGUCAAAUUUUCCCUGCAGUUCUUAGUUGGAAGAAUGAGUCAUUUUUCUUUUCCGAGCUGUUAAGUGCUGCUGGCAUAAACAUGUCUUGUUAUCUGGAGCUUUUACAGCGUCUCUUUCAGUGUUGCUGCUCACCUUGGAAGCUUGGGGAAUUCGCAUAUUAAUAGUAGCCAUAUGCCAAAUUCUUGAGUUUCAGACUUGAAAGGUGGAUUGUAGAAUUCAAUUCAUUUGUCUGAGCUUCAGUUCUCUUGUCUGAGCUAUGUAUAAGGCCAGGAAUUACUUAAUUUUGCCACUUCCAUAUGAAGUCUCACUGGUUUGGCAUGUAACUAAUUUGUAUUUUUGCUGUUAUCAUCUGGUCAUUUUACUCCAAGAAGAAUUAAAUUCACAGCACACUUGAGGAUAUGGAUACUGUCCAUCUUCCAUUACCUCUUCUUGGGAUACUGGUGUAUAGCAGAAAUAACUGCUUGUCAAGCCAUUGGGCUUGUAAUUCCUAGCGUGUUUAGGACUGACGUCUCAAAUUCUCAUGAAAUGAAGUCAGCCCUAUACUUCUAGAGAAUGUUGAUUCAGUCUGGGGAGUAUAAGCCUGGGCACUGACAGACCUGCAUGUGAUUUUCCUGUCCACAAUUUCCCAUCUAAUCUUGGUCAAGUCACUGCCAAAUAAAAUCCAGAAGUAAAACCUGAGAAUUUUUCUCCUGCUGCAGAUACACAAGUACUUUGUUAGAGGCCUGUGUUGCUGCACUGUUGUGCGGGGUCCUUUUACACUUGGCUGAUUUUCUCCAUCUUGGAUGAGUUUAUUAUCUGGUGUAGUGCUUUGGUUUGCUGAACGUGGUAUGAAUCACACUUGCAUGCAGUGAUGGAGCGGUGGUUGCUUUGAGCUGGGGCUUCCAAAUCAGUCUUCUGAACAGGAAUCAAGGGGAAUUGUGUGGCUGAAAAUGUGAAAACCCCAGUCCUUUAAAUUAUCAAGUUCAAAUUUUUAGCUACGGAAGAUGCAACGCAUCACAAGGUUGCAUUUGAAAUCUUGAGUUUCAUAAGCUAUUUUUUUCAAUCUUAAGGUACCUACUGAGUAAACAGUGACCUUCCUGAAGAAGAGGCUCUGUGGAGAUGGGGAACCGGGUGGGGGACAAGGCUCAUAGUGGUUACAUGCAUGUGUUGGUGCAACGCUUUUGGACCUGAAACUGAUUUGCAAAAACACUGGUCAGGAAAGAGAGCCUGCUCCAAGUUGCUUCAUGUGGAGGUAAGAUGGGAGGUGAAUGGGAAGGUGCAGUGGUUGAGUGAUUCCUAAAGCAAACGUACACUGAAUCACAAGUGAAUCUGAACUUGCAAUGCAGGGGUUCUUGUGGAGGGAGCGUGUUUCCCUGCAGUGUACAGCCUGUGUCUGCUCUGGCUUCCUGUGGAGGUGUGGCUUAGAAGCCAAAAACAAUGCCAUGUUCUGCUUCUGGGAAGGUGCUCAGCUCCAGAGCCUUUGUGGGGAUGUGUUCCUGGAGUGCGAAGGGAGCAUUGUGAUCCAUUGUGGGGAGGCACAUCUCAAGACACUAAUGUUAUCUGCAGACAGGCAAGUCUGCUGCCAGCCAGGAUCACACUGCUCUCAUGAGCCCUGCACAGUGCUGUUGUGUCUUCCAUCACAGUACCUUUUUCCACUCUACAUCUUAAUUACCAGCUCAUCUUGAUCUAACAACUAAGAAAAAGCUCCAAAGCACAAACAGUAACAAGAAGAACACGUAUGUGUGUGGACUUGUAUUUAUUUUGAAUUAGUACAGGAGUGCAUGCAUUUGAGCUCAGUUAUAAUGUGCUCAGAAGGAGAAAAUGUGGACCACAGCCCAUCCGGUUGGAAGCCUUUGCUUUGGAUGAAAAGCUGCUGCAUUUCUCAAGCAAAUAUAAAGUCAAGUUUCAUAUGUCAGCUGUGUGAUUGGGUCUAGAGAGUUUGGACUCAUGAAUACUGGCAGAAUCUGACAAUUGUAUUUCUGCUUUAAACACUGCAAAUUUUCCUAAUAAGCAAGUAUUGAAACUGAAGUUUGUUGUGCUUAAGCUCAGGACACAAUUGUGUGCAUCGUGUUCAUGCUAGGAAGCUUGAAGCGCUGGGAACGGAGGCUUCUUUAUCUUUUUAAUUGCUGUAGUUCCACUGGUUUCAAUAGCCAUGCACCCACAUGCAUUUAUAAUGGCCAGCAAACAGCCUCUUGAGUCUCAGAAACGCACAUGAAGGUACUAAGCAACAUCUGUAACAUAGCAACAGGAAAGCCUUGAUGGCAUUCUCGAUAUACUGGCUGCAGUUCUUGGUGCUGAGAGGGAUUGUAUGGUGGAGGGCUUGCUUGCUUUUGGGCAGGUUCUGGUAAGGCUCAUAGUGUUGCCUGGGAUUGUAAUACUUACCAAAUGUAACACAACGGCAAGUUGUGUUUGUGGCACAAGGACCCAGCCUAAGGUUUGGUUCAGAGUGAUUUGGGAAGACACAGCAUUACGUUUCUGUGCCUUAUUUGUGUUUUCCAUGGGAUUCUUAUUUACCCCUGUGAAGCUUUGCCUUCUUGGAACCAUUACAAGCUUUACUAGCAGGUUCCAGACCUUCACGUUUUCACCUUCCAGCUCCCGUGGAGCACUGUUGCAGGCUGUGUGGGCAGUGGAAGCCCCUUUGUGUUAAGCUGCGGGCCCUUGGCAGCUUCUUCAGCUUUGCUGUGUUGUCUGUGGAUGGAAAAGAAGGUACUCAGGCUGAGAGAAUGGUGGGGCUACAAAGCAGCAUUUGUGUGUUCCUUCCAUCUUGGCUGGUAUUCAGCAACAGGGAGGCCUGAGAUCAGCUCUGCACCUGCUGCUGGGGCUGCUUUUUGCCUGCUGUCAGGUGCCUCACAGUCUUAUGCAAAUGAACCAUUUAAGAAAAUGAGUUACUUGGAUGGAGCCUUUCUGUAAAGAAUAGUACCAGAUCCUGUGUAAGCCAGAUGUGUUUCAGAAAGAUGUCCUGUAUUUAGUCCAAGCAUCGCAAUUAGGUGUUCCCUGGCUAUCUCCUGUGUUUUUCACAUUGUUUGCCUAUUAUUUCUUCAAGGGCAAAGAGGGAGGUAGCAUUAAUGUGGUAACACUGCCUGUAAUUACAUAGCCGAGGGGAGCAGGAAAAAAGCCUUCUGGGUGUUUUCUACAUCUCGGGAUUUAUUAGGUUGUCUCCUGUGCUGACAGAACAAGAUGUAGAGUUGAAUUCAGUGUUCAUUUGUCACCAUGUGUGAGACGAAGGAGCAAGUCUCACAAAGAUACUAUAGUGCAGGGACUUGGCUUGUUUGGUUCUGCCCAUUUUGGGCUAAUUCCUGCCAUUUCAUUUUUUUAAAUGGUUUUCAGGUCUUUCUUUGAAUAGACAUUCUGUUUUUACAAAUGCAGUAGAGAGCGUGUUUCUCUUAGAGAUUUCAAAGCAAAAUAGGAGCUGAGUUUGGAGUGCUUGUUCCAUUUCUACAGCACUAAUGAUCAUUAGCAGCAAUAAACUAACUUUACUCCUGGCUUCAAGGGCCUGAGUGCCAUGGGGCAGUCCCACGGCCCCAGCUGCUGCUGGUGGGACCCCUGAAGCCUAACUCUUCUCUGUGAGGUGGGUUUCAUGAGGAAUGUGCCAUUUGGAUGCCACGAGUUGUCUGGACCAUCUCUGUGCUAAAGGGGUUUGUCUGGGGUACAGAAAAACCAGUCCAGUUUUUUAAGAUGGAAAUUGGAGCCAGGAUUUGCUUUUUCCUUCCUGCUGACUCCAGUACCCUUCCUCUGUGAGUCCUUUCUGCUGUGAGGAGGGUGAAAGCAUUGGCUGGCAUAGGGGGAGCUGCUGCCUCCUGUGUUAGAGAUGAAUUAUGAAGAUGCAAACUCCUUUGGAAGCACUGUUUGACAGAUCACAGACGCUGGCCACUGACGUACUUGUAGCAGACUUUUCUCAGCUGCAGUUUCUUUGGGCAUAUCCAAAUGUGAACGUCAUGCUGUCUGGUGCUUUCAUGUGACCUUGUUGUGAGUGACCUUACUGGAGUGCUCCUCUGCUGCUGUGCCACCUGAAUAAGCCUUUUCUCAUGGACAGAUGCUUAUGGGCUGCCCCGAGAAAGGACCUGCUCUGUAUGAUAUUGCCAGAAGCUCCUUUGUCUGACAUGUGUCUGAUGACAAAGGGUGCCAUUAAAAAGAAUGUGGUGUCCUAGAGCUGCUUCUCUGAGUUUGAACUUAUAUUUUGCUGUAGUUUUAGCUUACUUUAGGAGUACCUUUGGAACAAGGGGACGCUUUGUAGAACCCUCUACUGCAGGGAGGCAUGGCUCAGCCCUGCAUAGCAGAACUCCUGCUGUAAGGCGAUGGGGUGCUCGAGGUGUCUGUCUCCAGUGGUGCAGAGUAGACACUGUCCUUCCUGGAUCUGCCUUGGUUAGAAUGCAGGAGUGCUUCCGAAUUAACAUCCCGUCCUACAGCAACUGGAAGUUAGGACUUGGUGCAGGUUCAGCAGUGGUAUGUGUGGAAUUGGAAGCCAGGGAGGAAAAAGUCCAAGUUUUGAACUUGCAGGUGCAGAUGUAAUAAGAAACUCUCAGGAGACUUUAGUCCACAAUGUUUUUUUAUAUAGCAGCUUUCACACAAUCAGUGGAUCCUGGGAGACUGCCACCUACCUGAGGAGUCUGAGAAGAGACCCCUCUGAGCAUAGUGAAAGCCUGUUAUGCUAAGGAGAAUGCCUGAGACCUGCUCAGGUCAGAUUGCUCCUGGCUCUUUGUCCAGGCAGAUGGAGCAAAAUAUUUUAAGUAUGAAAUAAACCUAUGUUCCUGAGAAGCAUGCUGUAAAAUGUCAAUGCUUGCCUUUAUAGAAAGGCUAUAUCUUCAGCUCUGAUGGAUUUCCUCUGCAAAUAUACUACCUAGUUUUGUGGGUUUGCAUGACCUGUGUGUGUGCUGGAUUCCAGAAGAUGCUGAGGACCCUUUUUACCACCAGUGGCCAGAGGAGGGUGUGUCAGCGUGCCCUGUGGAGAUGGAUGCUACAGCUGUCUGCACAUGGCCCUGUUGCAGAGCGCAGGCUGGGUGUUGUGAGGGGCUCUGUCUCUCCCCGUGGCCCUGCCGCAGCAUCUUGGCUUGCUCUCAUGUAACCUGCUUGUGCUGGGACGUGCUUGUAAGCUACAGGACUGUUAAGUGCUGAUUGCAAACGGAACAGGAAUGAUUGCUUGGAUUAUCAGAGGGGAAACUGUGCAAAACGUGACCUUUCCUCUACUCCUCAGGGUAGAGUGAAGGCUUCAUAGCUUCCUGGUUUUUGAACAGCUUGGUAAAUAGUAGGGAUGUGCCUAUGUGUAAAGGCAGGCUGCAGUGGCAUCCAAAGGCUUCCUGGAUGCCAGAGGAGAAGAGGUGAAAAAGUUAGUGGUAAGCAUUCUGAAAAGUCAUGCAGUGAUGGGGAAAUAAUUUAUUCAAGAAGGAAUAACAAAGUCCAGGAAAAUUAUGCGAAAUCAAGCAGUACAGAUGAAAACGUUGCCUUAGCACAGAGCACAGGCUGUGACUAUUUACCAUCAUGAGAUUAGAUGGGGGCUGGUGGAAGCUGCAGGGAGUGCAGCAGCUAGGAAAUAAAGCUGACCAUAAGGUCAGUGCUCAGAGUCAGGUAAAUGAGCCGUGCUGGAGGACAGGGCUCUGUCAUCCCAGAGGUGGUGUGUGCUGCUGUAGUCCUUGACAAGGAGAAUUGUGCUGACAGUGAUUGGCUGUUCCUUAUGUACUGGCCUGAAUUCAUGGGGAAUUUGCAGUGAUAAACUUAGUAAAGCAAGGCCUGCAUGUAGAGAACUGGAGGAAAACCGAAACAAAACAUUCACUGCUCUGUCAUGACCUUCAUUUUAAUAACUUUCAUGCUUUGCUGACCCCUGUGGUGUCUCUACAGCCACGUAUGAUACAGGAGUAAAGACAGCUUGCCCUAGAAAUGGGGAGGAGUCCAGCAAACACAACCCUCACGAGCAUCUGGGAGCUGCGUUCUGAUGGACAGGGUGCAAAACUGUUGGAGAGAGGCACUCCAUUCAGCUGCAGCUUUUGUGACAGCGUGUCUUCCUGUGCGUGGGGAGCAGUGCAGGGCUAGGUGCUAAAUGCUGCGAGGAAAAAAGAGGUUGUGCUGUAAGCAACUGGAAUUUUCCAGUGUCUAUUAAUGAAGGCAAGUUUCAGACCACCUUUUCUGUUUGCUAACUACUGACAGAUAAAGCUUUCAGUCAUCAAACAUAAUUAUGCCAUGAUUAUUUCUCCUGUGCUUUGAGUAUCAACUUCACGGUAAGUAUUGAGGGAAAACACAGUUCUGCAUAUUACAAAAAACAUCUUUAAGGUAUUUUUCUUUUAAAAUACAAAUGUACAAAGGGGUAAUUGUUAGAAAAACGCAGGAGCAGUUGCUGCGUGAUUGUAUUAUGAAGGAUAUGAAAUACAUGUAACAGGCUCUAAAGCUUAACUUCAGUGUUGUAAUUUUCUACCGUGACGUACUUCCAGGAGCGAGCAGCAGGAGGGGACAGCAAUGCAGCAUCUGGCCUGCGUAUUCCAGGUAGUGUGUCAACUUAGCUAGGUUUCCUAGGCCAGAUGUUUUAUGUGUUACAUAUUUAAAUUCCCCAGUUUCAUACAACGUUGUCCCUGGGCCAGUCCUUUCAUAAGGAGCUUAAGUUUGGCCUUUGUGUCAGUGGCUGCAGCCCAGAUGACUUCUGUCCUUUGGUGCUAGGGCUGGCUGCUGGUCCUUAGCAGCUGUGCCGGCUGUGGUGCCAGGCCUGCAGAACAAAGUGGUGCUUAAAAUGUACUGAAAAUAGGUGCAUUAUUGGUAGAAGAAUUCACUCGGUGACCAUGCAGGCUUUGGACACUGUGAUGUGGGGCAGAGAGUGACAUGAUCUGUGCACGUGCCAGUCCUGCAGCCAGCAGAAAAGAAUGAUAUUGGGGCAGGCUGUGCUUAAACCCAGCUCUGAUAUUGAGUUGCUGAGUGACCUCAAGCAAUAUAAAAAUGAGGCUGAUGGUACAUGUACUGCGCUGCAGAGCUGGGGUAGCGUGGGCGUGCUGCUGGUACGAGUGCAUUAGCAGUGCUGCUGGGAGGACAGCUGGUUGCACGAACAAAACCAAAUUGUUGGGGUAUAACUCAGUACUUUUUGAAAGGAAUCUACACUUUGCUGUCUGCAGAGUGCUGAGGUAUAAGUAGUGAAAGCUGCUUGAAGUCUUGGCUAGACAUUAGAGCCAGAUUGUGACUAUGAUUGCACAUCACAAAAGCUGUCUGUUUGGGAGGGGAUUUAGCUGUUUGUUCAUUCAUAGGUUAGACUCUGUCAUGCAAGAGCUGCCCAGUUUGUGCAAAUAUUUGCUUUUUCUAUGACAAAAGCACUGUAUUGGCAGGUUAGGAAACGUAGCAUUUUUGUAUUAAAAGGCACUGGUUAUGCUCUGCCUGUAGCUGUAGACCUAGUUCAGUAAUAUGCUAUUAAGCUCAAUUAGAGUAGCACAGUAAAAUAGAUGUAAUACUUCUGCAAUGGAAUGGCAUGCUAAGACCUGAGCAAACAGAAUGUUGUUACCAUGAAUAAUGCUCCCUGAGCAGUUGGCCUACACGUGUGUAUUUGUUUCUGUGUUGUUGACUUCAUGUUGAUGCUUUUUGUUGGCUGAAACUUUUUCUUUUAAAAUUCAGUAACUGAAACUUGUUAAUGCACAGGACAAAGCAUUGUCUGGGGUCUGUUCUACUUCACUGGAGUGGACUGAAAAGAAACAGCUGCUGUGUUCCCUUUCUCUCCCCAGCCGUACAGAACUUCAGUCUAGGUUGUCCCGCAGUAAUACAUUUCCAUGUGUGUGUACAACCAUCCUGUCUCUGCAUGAUCCAUGUAGUACAUGGGAAAAACUUUCCCAUCUAGUAACUGAUGAGGGUGAUUUCCUGUAAGCCAGCUCUUCUUGUGGUCUCUGGUUUCCAGCCAGUUCUAUUUUUACCACUUUUUUUUUCUUUCGUUCUUUGUUAAAGGAUAUUUCUGUUUGGUAUUCUGUUACUAAAAUGUUUGUUACACCCAGACCAGGGUAAUGUUUUAAAAGGCACCCAUACAAGCAGUGAAGGUGAUAUGUAUCCCACUUGGUCAGAGCUUUUGAGCCACCUCCUAACGUUGGCAUCAGUCUGCAGGACCUGUAGGAAUGGGAGCCAUGACUACACUGCUUCUGGCUGCUGAGCUGAAGCCUGGGCCGUAUAACAUUGCAGACUGAGGGUGCACAGGAGGAAUCCAGCAGUGUAAAGCUGGUGAUCGGUGAUGAAGCUGGAAGAGAUCCCAGCGCAUGGGGGAAGUGUGGAAGUGAAAGGAGAGCCAAGGAGGAGUGCAGAGGAUAGAGAAGUGAGAGGAAGCUCAUUUAGAACCAGCACUCCAUUUACCUCGAAGUAAAUGGAAAUCUUGGCUGCGGUUACAGGUUGUGCUGCAGUACCAUGCUGCAGGGCCUGUGUGUAUUUAAUCCCAAUCUCAGUUUGAAUUUUCUCCCAGGACUUCAGGAAUCUGAAUCCUUCAGGAAACACUUAGCAUCGUGCUGCAGAGAGGGCUGGGAGAGAUACCACUUCAUGAUGGCAGCAGUUCUACUCCACUGACACUGAGCUAGCCAGGUUUUUGGAAAUACAAAAAGCAGUGCUGUGAAGGUUACUGUUUCACGAGUGCUACUUGGAAACAGUUAGGUCCUUCUUCAGACAUGCUCUUCCCCCUCCCUACCCCACUUGGUAAAUCACAUCAUUAGACUGGCUUCAGAAAGCUGCAUGUUCUGUCAUCAAAAUACCAGAAGAAUGCAGCGUGCGCUCCAAGCAAAGGGUCAGCUUUCUAUCUGCGGGAAUGUGGAGGUGCGUUUUGGUGCUUGCAGUCAACCUGGUUUGUGCCCACACUAAGGUAAUUAGAUACUUAGCUGGGAAGGUGAACAUCCCUGGUUGCUCAUAGAUAGUAACAGUUGACAAGAGAUGCUGAGAAUUUUCCUGUGAAAAGCAGGCAAAAUUUUUCUGCUGCAGUGACAGCUCACCAGAAUGGCAGAUUUGAGAAGAGGUGUGACUUCAGCCCUUUUGACAAGAUGCCACCGUGGCUUUGAAGCACUGCUAGCGGCGUGAGGAGUGCUUCUGUUCUUCAUUAGGCACAGCUGCAGCGUUCACAGCAACAGCCCCGGACUUGGGGCUGACAUUUCAUUGCAGGGAAUCAUAUGGUUAUUUCAUGUUAUUCCUGAGAGUUGCGACAUCAUUUUGAUUAAAUACUGCUGGGGGUAGGCUGGCAGUGGAAGUGGUGCUUGCAGUGAGUCAUCCUCGCUAAUGGAAACUAUUUGAUAGAGAAACAGGAGUUAUUAGCAAGAUAGCAUUUCUGUUCUGAAUCCCUCUUUUUUUUCCUUCUGUGGGCAGUUUUGCAAAUUACCUUUAGGCUGGAGGGCCUCAUUUAUUUUCAUUCUAGCAACAAACAUUUUUCUCUGUGUGUGGGAUAGGAAGGGUUUUUUGUCAUCUGUGAACUCCAAAGGUGUUCUCUUCUGCUGUGUUUUAUUCUGAUCCUGUUUUGCACUUAAAUGUUGGAUAUAGCUAGUGCUGCAGGUGGACUGUUAAAAGGCAUUUAUUUUUAAAGUGCUAACUUGAGGAAUGUGGACAUUAAAUAACAGUAAAAUAAGUACAGUUGCCUUGGAACACUGUUUUCCAUCACUUUAGGAAAUCAUAAGAGUUCCUCCCUCCAGAAAAAUAAUCAAGGUGCCAGCUUAACUUUCAAGCCCUUAAAUGGACUGUAGGGGAUUAUGUACAUGAUUAAACUUACUCCCCUACAUAAGACAUCUUUUAAGGCUGUAACCAGAACUCUUGGAUGUUAAUGUUGCCAUUUGCUGUCUGUAUGCUUAAAUGUCUUCCUCUGGGUUUUUGGGUAUUCAGGAGCAUUAGUACCUCCUCCCCUAUGCAGGGAAUAUGAACCUCAGGGUUGAUGGAGGGGCAGAGGGAAUGGAAAAAAUGCAGAACGGAAUCCAUGAUGUCUGACAGUGGGUUACAGGUUUGGAGGAAACUCCGGUACUAUCUGGUCUGGCCAUGUCUGCAAGCUGUCAUCCACGGAGGGCUCUGAGAGUGUAGGAAGGACACUAAAUGUUUUUCUUUAAUCCCUCUCUUCUCACAUUUGGGAAACCCAGACUACAUCUCGACGAAGAAAAAUAUUUUUAUAUUACCUGAAGAGAGAAUCUACAUGUGUUUAACAACACAUCAGGUAAGAGAAUGUUUCUUUUGUAACCACAGCUCAAACAUUUAAACCUUCAGAUGGUGCAGAUGUCCUGUGUCUGUGCACGUUCAUCUCUGCAGCCUUCCUUAGCAAAACUAAUCAGGUUGCUCUUAUCUCCAUCUUUUGAAAAUGCACAAUUUUUUUCUCCUUGACUUGGGACUGACUGAAGCUGUAGGUAUUCUCCCUCCCCCCAGUUUGUACUCAGUACUGAUGAAGCAGCUUCUCUUCUAGUUUAAUAAUGCUGAAUUGUGAGUGUCCCAUAUUGCAUUUCCACCUUUCAGGUUGCCAAGGCAUCUUCCUUGCUCUUUAGUCAUGCAAAGCAAGGAAGGGUUCAAGACACUUUUCAAGCAGGAGAGAGGGGGAAGGUAUUUCUAACAGGCUGCUCCAACCUGGUGCAUCGUGUCAUAGCAAGGAAGGCAGUGGUAAGAUCUAUGUGAGGAGCUGAGUUACGCAUCAAGGAGGUAAGCUGCAGCCUUGCUUCAAUGGAAUGAGUGGGGCACUUGGCUUUGCUGGCUACAUCUUUGCCUGAGACUUUUCUGCUAAAGAAGCUAGUAGCCAGCAGGUGCUCUGUGCUUCUGUUGGAUGCCUGGGCCUUAUGCUGGGACUAAGAACUGGCCCCUGGGUUUAUGAAAACGGCAGUCCUGAAUGUGUGCUCUUUAUUUCCUUACCUGCUGUGCAUUUCAGACUUCUGUCUUGCAUCCUAUUCCGUUUUUUCUCCUUUCAGUUCAUUUCUCCCCAUCCUUUUAGCAGGGGUGUGUGUGCUGGUAUUGGCAGAAAUUCAGAAAUCAGCUAGGUUUGUGUUUGUAUGGAAGGCUUUCAUCCACUGCACUUCUUGUGCCGCUCUAGUAUUAGGACAGCAAUCUUGCUUUAAUAGCAUAUAAAACAGUCAUGUUUUUGUAAGCCUGUAAUGACAUGCAGUGUUUUAUGCAAGCAAUAAAACAUGAUACUGCUUCUUCCAUUUAGAAGGCUGUGUGCCUUUCUUUCUUUAAUGCAAUUAAGUUGACAGCAUUGGGGUUGUUCCUGCCUUACGUCUAGGCAAAUGAACAGGUAAUAAAGAGCAAUACAAGUUCACUUGCAGUGUGUGUUGACUCAUUGCUCAAUCUUGCAUGUGUAGCAGAAAAUGCUUUCAUCACAAAGAUGAAAAUGGGUGUUUUCAGAUGGGAAAGCUCUGAGUCUAACAUCCACUGACCCGAUCAAUUAAUGAGCAGGCCUGUGAUUUUCUGGUUUCUUGUGAAACCAGACCACAGGGUUAUUUUAAAUAGUUUGCUUCAGGAGAAGCAGUUGCUGAGAUGAACAGGUGCAGCCCUGCUUUGAGCAGGGGGGUUGGACUUUAAAGAUCUCCAGAGGCCCCUGCCAACCUCAGCCAGCCUGAGGUGCUGUUCUGGGGAAUGCUUGAGGACAUCAACUUGUUAUAAAGCAGCUUGCUUCAUGAGCUUUUUAAAUAUUUUGUGUGUAUUUCAUUUGGGACACUUAAAGAGUCCUGUGAGUGACCUCAUCUCGACUUCCUCCUGGCUCUUCAUCCCUCUGCUGAUCUCAGGUGUUGGAGCUUCAUCAUGAUGGUCUUGAAGACUGUUGCCUUCAUCUGGCAGUUCUUGCACUUCUCCUCUAGGUGUUCCUACAAAGGGAAGCAAGAAGUAGGCUGCCAGAGCCUGCUGUUACGUCUGGAUCAAAGCAUCUGAAGUGUGUCAAGGGUGAGCUGUCCUAUCUGCUCCUGGGCCAAUGCUAUCCAGAUCACAUUAAUAGUCUAGGCCUUUGCUAAGAUGCUGAAUAUGAGUAAUCUCUUUGUCCAGAGAGCUUGGGUUGAAGCAUCCUCUUAGCAUGAGCCAGGGAUUUGCAGUAUGGAUGGUGGGUGAGGCUGAUCUGGCAGCAGCCUCUUAGCUGAUGGUGUGACCGUGUGCUUCACGUUACUGUCCCUCUGGAGCUUUCUGGGGACAGCUUGGUCCUGCCUGUACAUCUUGCUGGCUCUUGCUUGUCCAUAUCCCUUGGGUUGAGACGUGUUGACAUAGUGACAACAGCUGAUAAACUUAGCAAAACCAGCCUUACUUAGUUGUAUUUGGAACAUGUAGCAGAAGCAGGCUCCAGCUUCCCUGAUGGCAGGGCUUCAGGUACUGUCUGUUGGUUAAUGCUGCUGUCUUCACGGUGUCAGCCAACUGCAGUCCCAGCUUCUGGAGCUGUGUCUUUCAGUUGCGCUAUGGAAGCUGAAAGAUUAAAGCCUUGAAUCAGGAAAGCCACCAAGCACAUGAUUUACUCUAAGUGCCUCAGUGCUCUGCUAAGUGAGGAUGGAUUGCCCGAGUACCUAAAUAGAUGCUUAAAUGCUUUGUAAACUCUGUCUUUAAAGACUUUCUCCCAAAGGAUGCUGUAGAAGCAUCCACUGAAGUAAGUGAGGAUGAUGGGGACUGAGUGCAGUCAGUGCUCGGCAGCUACAAGAACUGCUGUGACAAUUUAGCUUUUUUUUUUUUUUUUUUACCACUAGAACAAAUCACCAGGAAGCACAAUUUGUGUGUGCAUAGGUAUAUACAUAGGUCGUUCUGUAAGUAAUGCCUCCUAUUUAUUUCCAUGGAAACUGCAAUGGCUUGAAAGAGCACAAGAACGCUAUUUGAUGGAGCAAAUUCUCAUUGUUUUUCCACGCAGCCACCACCGUUAGCUGUGUAUUUUCACCAGUGAUGAGCAAAAGCCUGCAUGCUGUGCUCAUAAAAAGCAAGCACCAGCGGAGGUGACCCUCUGUUGCCACUGCUGAACUGCACCAUCCACUGCGUCACUGUGCUCACAUCCAUUGUUUGGUCCCCUAAGCUCUGAGCGCUUUUACCCUGCCAGAAGAUAGAUCCUGGAGUUGCCUUAAGAUUUGCUGCAUGUGUGCUUUUACUGCUGAUUUUCUACAGAAACACUGAUAGUGGGCAACACCUACGUAUCUGUAUAAAUAACCUUGCUGAGUGUUGGUAUGGCACAACCCCAUUCUCAGCUGUUUCCUAAAUGCUGUCGUAAUCAAAAUAAGAAGUAAUAAUCAUUGCCUAAAUCAGUGCAACCUACUGUAAAUGUGGUCGUAGAAGUGCUCAGGCGGAAUGGUGUUGUUCAAGGAGCAAUGCACAGGUGUAGCUGGGAAGGAAUGCUGCUUUCUGGGAGAAGGACCAAGGCUUUUCAUCACAGUGCCUGCUGCUGGUGGUGCUGUGCAAGGUGCAGGCCAGGGGAAUGGCAGCAUGUGGGACAGAGCUCCUGGUGAGCCCAACGUGGUGAGCACUGCACCUGCCUGGAGUGGCACAGGUGAGAGCAUGAGAAUGGGAGAAACUGUGAUUGCAAAGAGGUGGUACAGAAUAUGGUGCUAGAGGAGAACGCUGCUAGGCAGUUGAGGUCAAGGAAAAUGGCAGAAAGGUUUUGUGAAUGCUUUUAUUCAUGCACUUUUUUCCUAUGUUUUUCCAGUUCAAAUGCUGUUGUGUCCUUUGGACUUAAGUUUUUAGCAGUACUUCUAAGGUCAGAGCAAUAUGCGGGGGAGGGGAAGAGGCCACGAGUGCUCUUUCCUCCUGCCCACUCCUCCUCCUUACUCUGCUCAAUUACGUCCAGUGUUCAUUCAACUCAGAAAGAUGAUUGUUUUCCUCCUAACUUUCCUCAAAAACAGCCUCAUUAAAUUCUGUGCAAGGAGGAGGGCUGAAUGGGACACCAGCACAUCAAAGGUCUGCUCUGUCUACUGGGUGAAGCCCCUUAUGUAAGGCAGCAACGUGGGGACAGAUGGGGCCUUGCAGCAUCACCUUGCCAGCAUCCCUUGCAGGCCCCACAAGACAGUGUGGCAGUUCUUUCCCCUGCCAGAGCUGGGCUGCUGCUGCUUGCUGGGGUGAAGUGGGUGCAGAGCCACGGCUGGUCCUUUGCAGGCUGGCACUGCAGACUUGGGCAUCUAACAGCACCCUGUUGCCUAAGGAAACGAUUUGUCUUUUUACGGCGUGCACAGAGUGGUUUUCUCACACUUUCCUGGGCUGCUUUUUCUCACCAAAUGGCCCAGUUAGUGCCAAGGAGGUGUCUGUGGGGCUGCUUCUGAAUUAGGACUUUCUGCCGUGUAGCUAUGUGCGCCCCAUGCUGCGCUGUGCAUCACAGAAAAUGGAAGGUUUAAAGCAAGCAGGAAGGCUCUAUGCUGCCCCUAGCAGCAGGAUAUUAGUUCAGAGGGGACAUAGCAGGAUGAAAUGACAGUGUAUAAAAUUGAAAAUCGCAGUUAAUGGAGGGGAGAAACAGCCAUGUUGGGAACGGCCAAAACCCCAAAUGAGCAUUUGGUUGGGUGAAGGAACUUGGUUAGCCAGGAGCUGGAGAUGGUGCUCCUUCUCUCUGGCUGUAGCUAGGGGAUUUAGUGUAUACAGUACAGCUUGUGCUGCUUUCUUUUGAUGCCCUGUCCUUGCUGAUUGAAAGCUUCUUCCUAUAACUGCCUAGGUGUUGUAGCUUUGAUAUACUUAUUUUUCUUAUCUACUGCUCACGUUCCGUGCAGUAAAUGUUUGCAUAUGACACUUUUAGCAUAUCUCUUCUUGGUUUUCUCCAAACUUUACUCAUGUUGAUUCGGUCUUUCCACCUAGGCCUUGCUUUAUUGAAAUAGGGUUAUUUCAUCUCUGCAGCUAAGUUGAUAGCCAAAGCAAAUGAACUGUGCAUAAUCCUGACAGAGAAAUGGCCAUCAGUUGGGGGUGUCUGCAGAGGGGUUGCAUUGGCUUUGACAGCUCUGCUGACCUCAACUGCAACUGUGUGGCACAGGUGGGGGGGGAGGAGGGGAGCUAGUGCUGCACAAAUUAAUGUAAACUUUGUCUAGUAAUGUUCUGGAGUCCUAUCUGCAGUUGUAUUCAGUUCAGUGGCUCAGCAAUUGAUUGCUUAAAUCUGAGGGUUUUUUCUGCCCUGUCAGCUUUAUCCGCAGCCACAUCAAGUAGUUGAAGCAAGUUGCCUUGGAGAAUUCAGCCUUUGGCUGCUACUAAUUCAAAAGACAGAUUUUCAGGAUUGUGAAUAACAUGUCUGUGUCCUUGUGUUUCCCCGUGGUUCUGUCAAACUGGAAUUUUUCUGUUUCAGCGUAGAAGGACAAUGAGGAGUGAAGAGGGAAGAGUUGAAAAAGGGGCAGAACCGUGAUUGAUUUGGAAGGAGAUGCGGUGCUUUGUGCCAUCGUGGCCUUUCAUGGAAGAUGGCUGUGCUGCUGCUGGUCAUGCAGGAUGGUACUUGUUUCAGCAGCAUGUAAAUGAGCACCUGGUUGCCACGGAGAAAUUUGUCUUUGCACAUCGUGAGUGUGGCACUUCUUGCCAUGUAGCAAACCUAUACAGAUUCAGGCAGUAAGAUUUUUUCUGUCUUUCAGCCCAUAAACCUGUGGAUAUGUUAGCUCUUACAUGUAAACAUACCUCACUGUAGUGUGGAGACCAAGGAAUGAUGACUUAACAGUAAGUGGACAGCACCGUGACUACUGAAGUAUGCAGGUUCCCUUACACUCUGUUAGUUUGCUGUUGGUGUGUGAAUUUAUCCCAGGCCUCUUAACACUGGGCAGUUCUUGAAGAGCUGCUUAGAUGUUGUGAUUUAAGUUCUACGUCUCUCCUAACCAUGAGGUACAUGCAACACGGUAGUAAUUACAACACACCAAUUCGCACGUCUGUUCACUGGCUUUUCAUUUGUUUUGGCAGUGACUGUAAAUCUAGCAAUUCCUGCUUCCAUACCGAGCCCGCACCUGUGGUUUCUGCCAGCCAUGGCUAUAGGAGAAUGGGUAGGCGAGGCUGAGAUGUGAAAUAGCAAUCUAUAAAUGGCUGGUUACCAGAGCUGUGCUUCUGUCGAGAGUUUAUCAUGGUGUAAGAAAGAAGGGCAGUGAAUUUGUGUGAUUUGUAGAACAUUAGCCACACAGAGCUGAUCCAGGAAUGUAGCCUCCUAGAGCCUGUAAUACCGACUCUGAAAUAACAGAGCUUAAUUAUUCAUGGGUAGGAGCUGCUUCUGAAGCUACUAUUCAUACUGAAUAUUUAAGAAAUUGUUUCAGAUAACUCUGACAAGAAGUGUAUUUCUUGUUUCUUACCCCUGGGUUUUAUUGUUUGCAUCUGCUAUGGUCUUUAAAUAAGGACAGUUUUCAGUAAGAUUAAUCUUGCAUUUUUAGUCCCCGAUGUAAUGUGGUUUUAUUUCUGAAGGAAGAAGCUCCUUCAAGUAAUCCAGUGUGCUAUGAAGCAGUCUUCUACUCAGCGACGUAAACAGCCCCCAGCUUUCAGCAAGCGUUUGGAAAGGAGAAGUAACACAUUUUUGUGAAUUAGAACAGUCACAGAAGAGCGAGUUAAAUGCAAUGUUAGCAUAUUCGGAGUGGUGAGUGUAAUAUGCUGGUGUCCCAUCCACACGGGGCAGAUGAUUAUCAGUGCACGCAGCUCUCAAGGCUCUCCGUCAUUUGAGGUAGCAGAAGCGCUGUACUUUCAAGCAAAGGACUUCAAGUCCUGAUUUUCUGACAACAUGCAACGGAAUUGUUCACAAUUAGUCUGAAUAUUUAUUAUGUUGCUUUCUGACUGACACUGGGUUGUUGGAUUAACGGUUGCUUGACAAUCAGAGCUUCCUUUGCUUAUGAGAACACAAAAUGCUGCUUUGUGAUUGUGUAGGUGGGACCUUGCUGCAACUGGGUGAAAUGGGUAAGCAUACUGAAGUCUCAGUAUGCUUACUGAAGUCUCCUGGCCACGGCACAGUGCUCGUCAGGGCUGAAGGAGAAGAUGAAGAGGAGAGGAGGAAGAAAGCUAGCUCAAGCUUCAUGCUAGGGUUUGAGGGUCCCUGCAGGUAAAGUUGAUUUACCUUUCUAGGAAGCUGUAAUACUUAACUUGACCUGAAGCAGCAGAUGGAGGGCUUUAGUCUGUGAAAGAAAUCUGUAUUUCUGGCUUUUACUUCGAGCAAGAGGUCUGUAGGUGGCUUGUUGAGUGUUCUGUGAAUUCAGUGCGUGUUCUCUGUAUUGCUAAACUGGGCCUUUUUUAAUUUUCCUAAGGAGCAUACAAAACUCUUCAUCCUCCUUAAGCUUUAACUUCUUUGCCCAAAAGUCAAAAACAGGUUACUUCAAAAUGAGUUUCCCUGUCAGACCAUACGUUGUGCUGGAGCAGGAGCACGUCAUUCAUGUUGGCGUGGCUAGAAGCUAUUUAUAUCCUGCACUGGGACUGUAUUUCACUUUUCAGAUGAACCAGUGUGUUCUGAUUUUGUGUUUACUUAUCUGAAAGGAAAGAAUCUGAAAGAAUCCUGUCUUCAUAAGGCUUUAAAAUGAACAGAGGCUUUUCUCUGUUAAAUUGAACCAAAGCUUGUGUGUUUGGAAAUCCCUCCCCGCACCCCCCUCGGUGAGACCGUGUCUGAUUACUAGAGGAGGAGGAAAGAAAAGCCUUUUGGGGAAGUUUUGCUCUCUUUGUGUUAACUUCCUUAAAAAUGAUAAUAAAAUUAAGUUGUUGCGAUGUGGCUUAAGUCAAUGGCAGUAGAAGUCAGAGGCUUGGAAAUAGUGUGGGUUCUCCCUUUUCCAGGGUAAGCCAUUCAGCAUUCCUAACAGACUCGUGCUGGGAGAAGCAGACAUCACCAGCAAGGUAUUUCCUGGAGCCUUUUGCCAAAUGCUAAUAAUAAUAAUAACAAUAACAAUAAUAAAAAGACUCAGAUCUGAACUGAGCCACUUGUGACUUCAUUUGGCAGCAUAGGCCUGUUCUACAUAAACUUCUGCCUCUAUUUUGAUACUCAUGGCUGCCAAAAGCUUCUGAAUUAAUUUGCCCCCCUUCUCCCUCCCCUCUUCCUCUUGCCUUAGCAAAGGAGUAGUGGAUCACACUUAGAGCCAAAGAAACAUAUGGGCUUGGGAAGCUUCUGCAGACUAAGGCUCUGCUGGCUCUUUGUGAGGAUGGUGCCCCGACCACAAAGGCUGGCCUUGUGCUCUCCUUGGGCUCCAUCUCCUGUGCACCAGCUCUCUUGAGUCUUGCUGCUUUCCUGUGGUUUUCUUUUCCUGCUGCCUUUGCCUACCGGUUUUCUCCCAGCUUGGGAUGCCCUCCCAGUCUAUUGUAGCCACACUGAAUAUAAGAAAUAUGGGCCUACCUUUUCUCCCUUGCCUCUGUGUUGGAGAAGCAAUAUGGACUUGCUUUAUUAUAUCGUUCGGUCCAACAAGAAGACAGCUUUAGGGGGAGAACAAGGUCUCACUUCUCCUCUCUGGGUGCCUAAUCCAUGUCACAUCCUGGUGCUGCUUCAGAAAUCCUUCAGGUCACUUUAUCUGUGGUUACAUCACGGAAAGCCAAAUAAAAAUGCCUAUGGCACAGAGCGCUGGAGCAUGUAUGCGAAGGGUGAAAGUCUGAUCUGCAGAUACGCAACAGGAAGGCAGAGCCUUGCCAGCACAUUUCAGAGUCGUAGGGAAAGACAUGAGAGCAUUUCAAAAGUUUGAGUCCUGCGGAGAGUAACCAGGAAGGAAUGACUGGGGAUGUCUUUUUUUAUUGAGGGAAAAGCAGACAUCUGUGAAAACGCUUGUGUGAGGAUCUGAGCUGCCUCUGCUUAGGAAACGGUGGUACCCUGAAGAGACAGGCUUGGAUUUGUUAUAUAUUAAAAUGAAGUAACAGUUUCAUGGUAAUUGAUAGUGUUUUGUGACACAUCAGUUCCAGUUUCUGCUUUGUUAAGCACUUUUAAGGCUGCUUCAGUGCACCCAGCAUCACUUCCCCAACCGCUGGGACCUCGGAACCACCAGCUUGUUCAUCUCUGCUCCUGCCAGAGCUGGAAGUGCUGAGUUCUCCCAGCCUCCUGGUUUGCCCAGACAGCACCUGAUUCUCCUCGGAGAAAACCCAGUACGGAAAUGUGAGCAUUACCUCUGGGGAUCAGUUAGAAAGUGUACAUCCAUGUGGUUGUGUGUCAGUAGCAGAGGGGUGUGUGUGAAGCUGCUUUUCUUUCAGUGAUUAAAUUAACUGUGGAAGAAAAUGCUUCCUGUGGAGCUAGAUUAUAAUGAGUCUGCAUAGGUUAAAAACUAAAGGCAACUACUGUCAAGAAAUCCCUUAGUUUUGGCACCUGAUAUUCCAUCUAGGUUGGUAUUGCCUCACCUGAAGACUUUUAUCUGACACUGGUUUUGGAUAGACUCUAUUGCUGAUGUUGUACUUAGCUAUCAAGAUGAGAUUGGUAAUGCUUUAAUUGAUUUUCAAGGGUAGGAGAAAAUGCAGUUCUUGAUAACAAUUGCAAUUUUGGGUAAUGUAUGCUGAAAGUGAUGCAUGGGCCACUCAGAGCUAAUAAUAACGUGGCUGAUCUGACCUGUCUUGGCUUUAAAAUGCCUAGCAGAGCUUGCUGGGGCCUUCAAGAGUCUCUGCGUCUGCAGCUGGAUCUCCACUGUGAGUCUUCCUCGCUUUGCAUUGGGUUUUAAAUAUUAACAUGUAAACAAAUCAAGUUGCUCUCAUGAUUUUUCCUGCUAAGGCUUUGUCUCUGGUGCUGUGGCUUCUUAGCAUGGAGAGGUUUUCAGUGAGGGGCUGGAAAGGCUGUGAACCUUCCCAGUCUGUGCUGGGGCAAGAACAUGCAGGGACUCCUGGCUCUGCAGUAGCACUCACCUGAGCUGCUACUCCUGCACUGUUCAUGUGGGGUAACUCAGAUGGGAAAGGAGACUUAAUUUGGCGCGCAGAGAGAAAAUAUUGAAGAGUUUGGAGAUCAGCUGUCAGCCCUGGAAAUGGGGCUUGCCAGAAGUAGUGACAGACCAAGCUUGUAAGGCAAACAAUGCUGCACAAAGGACUGACAAGAUCCCCCCAUAAUCUACAUUAAAAAUAGCUUUGACUGUCUCUAGUUUUAGUGUGAUCCAUUCAGUAAUUCAUAUGGCAUUCCAUAUGUUAGGGUGAGAGGAAGGUGGAAAUAGUAGGAGUUGGGGAAAAAGCCACUGACUGAUCCAGAUCCUUAUGCCGUUUCUGUUCAGUUAAUUGCAUGCGUUUAGUGUCAUAACGUGAGCAGAUGGGGUGUUUCACAGUUAUGUGGUGUAUGUGUAUAGAUACAUAGAUUUCUAUAUGUAUCUCAUUCCCUAGCAUUUGAUUCCACAGGGCUGCAUCGAGGCUUUCCCAACCACGCUGAUGGAGCGUGCAGGGGAGAGGAUGCGAUAAGCAGUGGUGGGAUGGGGUGGGUGAUGGCUUUAAUAUUGGGAUCUCCUAACCCUGUGAGAUGUGCACCUGCUUGACAAGCAGUCCUCUGGUAUGCAGCUUUGCGUUUGGUCGCGCUCUUCUGAGGUUGCCAUGUUGUCUUGUUUGUAGCUGUUCUGAAAUCAGUAAGCAAACUUCUUUGUAGACCUGCAUCUCAGUCAUACUCUGUUCUUUGGCACCGAGGCUCUUUCCUCCACCCAAGGAAUGACCCUUUUAGAACAAGGACUGUGUGAAGGACAGCUGACCCUGGCAGCAGUGACUUAGUGCCCUGCAGGUUCCCUCCUCUUGCUCAGGCUCCUGGAGCAGCCGGACAGCUGCUCCAGGAGUGGCUCAAGUGAUGCUAUGCUGCAGUAACUGGUGUUUCCUGAAGGGCUGGUAUUCCACAUGACUCCUAGUCCUGCACUUUCUGGCUCCCCCUGGGUAGUGAGCUCUGUGCUUUCCUUCCAUGGCUCCGUCAGCAGCCUCCCCUCCAUGCAGGGCACCUGGCAGUGUGCAGCAGCGGGAGGAUGGCAACCAAGCUGCCUUCCCUUGCUGCUACAGCCUUUUAAAGGAUGUAGUAAAGCAGAUGGCACAGUGCUGAUACCCAAUAAACAGCCAGCAAGUGAAUAAGCCUGUUUGUCAGCUUGGGCUUUGCUCUGCACUAGCCUGUGCUGGCAGACUCAGGGCCUUGCCUUUGGAGCCUCUGCUCCUGCUGGGAGCUCACCAGGGGAGAGGUUUGCCUGGAGGGCCACUUGCUGCAGGUUUUCAAGCUGCAUCCUUUUUGCUUUCUUUCUUACUGCAUGCAGGGAGGGUGGUGUAAGUAGGCAUCCUGGGGCAUCUGAGCUACCUCGCUGUCCCCAGAGGAUUCCCAUGUCAUGUGAUGCCACCUGAAAAUGCACCAGCAGGUCUCAGCUGGGAGGCUGAGACCCAUCACUUUGCUGACAGAUGCUGUCCAUCAGCAUCUCUGUCGUCAUCUGUUUGCUGUGCAGCUGUUAAGCUUGCUGCAAGCAGGCGCAGUACCUACUGCUCUGAGGUUAGUGUUUGGGAAUGUUUGCCUAUGAUUGGGAAUGUGGCCUUAUCUAGAAAGGUCAACCAAAAUUGGCAAUAAAUAAAUAAAGGUGGCUUGAAGGAAAUGUUUCCUCAGCCUGUUUCUCCUAUUCCUGGAAGUCAGAAAAGAGAUGCGGGAGCUGGCUGGGCUCUCACCUCUGGUCCAUCAGGCUGCUAUACCCCUUCUUGUCUCUCUCCUUCUGCCCCACGUGGCCUCCUCUCAUUUGUUAGCAGGUGUUUGUGAAGAGCCUUACACUAAGAGGGCUUUUACUCCUGAAGAGUGUUUGUGGGCUUUGAAGGAAAAUAAUAGUAAUUGGCUGGGCAAUGCAGACAAGUAUCAGCUGCUGUACACAGGGGGAAAACAGGAGAUGGAGCCCCCCGGUGCCUUUCAGGGAGGACAGGUUAGCCUAGGACAGGGAGAGCCUUUAGGUCUUUUAAAGGGGCAAAACCCGAGCCACAAAAAUUAAAUAGCAACAUGUGGAGUAGUUGAGGGAAAACAAAAUGAGAUAGCAAAAAAAAAUAUAUAUAUAUAUAUAUAUAUCCCUUAAGCUUUUUAUCUUGUCUUGUUCUCAGAGUUCUCCAUCAUGUGGCAGACAGCUGCUCAGUGCAUGGAUAUUAGGGACGUGCUGUCAGGAGACUUCUGUCUCCAGGUGAUGCCUGCCUUCUGCACUCUGCUCAUCAGGUUGCAUGUUGCAGGGUAGGCUUUUUGAACUUACUGAAGUGUAAAAUUAUUUUUACUAAACCAUAAAAAAUAAAUCAGUGUUCAGUUAUUUCUGUCUUGGCUAUAUGCUGGAGUCAAUCUGAACAUAUGUAUGAGUGUAUGCUUAUUAAUAAAAGAUAACUUUAUAUAGAGAAGGCUUGUGGUUUCUCUCUUAUUCAAGGGAAUGAGAAGAGACAAGGAAAAAGGCUUUGGGGUUAGGUGGGAAAGCGGAGAGAAAACCGCUGCAUUUUGUUUUGCUCAUGUAUCAGCACUGGUGCGGUGUGGGCAGAAGUCUGACUCCAGGGCACAGCACCUGCACUAAGCAGCUUUCACUAGAGGACUGCCGCACUGGUUUGAAGCAGUGGUUACCUGUACCUCUGGGGCAGGGGGUGAGGGAGGCAAGCUCAGCACAGGGUGAUCCGUUGCUGCCAUGAAGGUAUGGGGCUGAGGGAGUUGAAAUGUGGCUGUAGAGGGCUGGCCUCAGGAGGGGCUUUUAAGUGUGCUUAGUGACUGACAAACGUUAAACUCCUCUGGAGUAAGAGUAUUUUGGAAUUUAGGAAAGGUGGGAGGCAAGAAUCAGCUGGUCUGUCUGAUGGGCAGCAGAUGGAGCAUAGGAAGAGAUGUUAUUUUUUUUUUGAGAAGUUACUAUAAAUCUGUCCAAAGAGUACAAAGGGAAGUAAAGCCAUUACCUCCUGCCAGUGUCUCACUGAACCUUUGCAUAUGCUCCUCACAUGGUUUGCCUGGGUGAUGUUGACCUGUGCCCUCAGGAGCAGCAAGGGAAGGGAGCUGAGCAGCAACCAUUAAAUGCUGCAGUGGGAGACAGCCUCAGGAGGAAGAUGUGUUGAGCAGGCUGCUUUCAUUAGGGUCCCUACUGAUGGGCUCAGGGGGUCAGCAACUGGGAGCAGUCUAAAUCCUGCAAGAAGGAUCAGCAAAUAUAGUCUGCUGAUGGAGCAGGAAGGGCUGGAAGAAUUGUGUUCCCCAGCACUGUGGUGGUUAAAGCUCCAGCAAUAAUGCUGAGCUUGGGUGCAGCCAGUGGGUGCUGUUGGAGAGACACUUAACGUGAGUUUUCCCAGAACUUCCAGUCCUUUGGUGGCCUCAGUGGCCAGCAUCUUACAGUGCAGGGCUGGUGUGUUCUCGAGGAAUAUGGGAUGCUCACAGAAGCCCAGGCAGCCUUAUUUUGUCGUGGUCCUGUAUCUUGUUUGACCGUUAGAUGUGUUUGUGGUUAACUAAUAACUUUUUUUAUAUUUCCCCUUUAUUAACAAGUGUGCUAACUAUUUCUCUCUUGGCUCUUCAAAAGCUAGUCGCUACGUAGGAAGGAAUAAGAAGUGAAAUUGGGGAGUGAAUUGGUAGCUUUCAAGCAAAUACAGACUGAUUUAGUGCUUUUAAAACCUCACAUAUGUGAUGAACAGAGAAUAUAUCCUAUAAUGAAAGCCCAUUCCUCUUCCACUAAUCUGUUGUCCUGUGACAGCUCUGUCAGAAAGGUUUAUAUCUGAGUGUAAGCCAUGAAAUAUUGAAGAAGGGUGUUGCCAGCUGUUCAAAUUCUGAGGUUUCUGUUUUGCAUGGAUUGGAAAGCAAUUUAAAAAGGUUAAUGAGGGCAGUACCGAAUAUUAGGCAAUUUGUGAGUGGUGUGAAUCAGGGCUGCUAUUAAACAAAGUGAAUCCCAGGUUUCAUGUGCUUAAUCUACACGGAUUUAGGUGUCCUGUCAGAGCUAGUGCGGUCGGUGUGUGCCUCAGGGCAGCGUGUCCUGCUGAGGCCUUGUGGGUUGGCUGCUCCCUGCUUGCUGCUGAGCCCUGGCACAGCCACCGAGGUGCACGCAGGCUCAUAGCAGAGUUGGGAAAGUGAUAGAGCUCAGGGAGACACGGUAAAGUAACAUCAUGCUCAAAAGACGAGAGGGAGAAGGUAGCUCUGCAUGUUGGUGAGCCCUGGUAGCUAGAGGGGGAGAGAGGAUAUCCAGAGGAGGAAAGGGACUCCAGCAAAGAAAAUACAGCCUUCGUGUGGAAUUGGGAAGAUGUCCUCUGAGCGUGAAUGGUGGCAGUGGGCCACCCUCCUGCUGUAUUCCUUGGGCUUGGAAAGGCUUGCAAUAAUAGCUUUUUUGGGUGAGCAUAGCCAGUUAUUUUGGGGAUGGUUAGCCUGACUGUGAGCUUUGGGUUUGUGACAGGUUGCAGUUGUCCUUUCUGUAGAUGACACUGUGUUUUUCCUUCCCUUCUCCUACAAAGUGUAUCUAAUCCAAUUAUUUCUGCAGGUUUUUUUUUAAGUUGUGUUUUACUCUUUAUGAUGAAAGCAAUGCAUUUCCUUCUUCUUGAGUUUUCAUGACCAUCUUUCCCCAAAAUAAAACAGCGAGGCAGUAAGAUGAACAUUCCUCUUGUUUGUGUUUUUGCAUGAUUCUGUUCCUCAGAAAUUGUCCCAUGUUGCUAAUACCAGCAGCAGAUAUGAAGGUGCCCAACUCCACUGCUGCUGGUAAUGACACUGCUGCUAAAAAAUAUAAACAAGAGACACUUCAUAUUUUUUACAACAGUCUCGUAUCCUUGCUUAAUAUUGUUAGAGGAGAGCUUGUGCCCAAAAGGGUGUUCAGUGACACCAUCAGCUGAAUAAGGCCUUUCAGAUACGUCUGUCCGCAUUAGCAAUGAGAAAACUUGCUCUCAUUUUACAAAGGAAUCAUUUCUUUUAAAUAUAACACUUUCCUUCCCGGCGCCCCCUGCAAAAGUGAUAGUCAUGAGAAUUCUCAUUACAGCCCUCUUUCAUCCCUUUGUCUCACAUUGGCUGAAAGUGCCUUUGUCUUCAAGUUCCUUCAAUUAUUAAUGAUUCAGUUGUAUUCUUUUUACCAAUUGGUGCAGAGAGAACCUUGGAGCAAAUCUGUGUUAGUUAUUCCAUUUCUUUUCUGCUCUCCUUUCCUUCUGCACUCUUUUUCAGUAGUGCUGUGCUCCGGGUUCCACAUCACUGCCUGGAGAUUUUGCUCCAACAUAAGAGUUGUCAUACCUCAAAGGCUGGCUUUGAUUCCAAACCUUAAUAAAAAGAGGUAAGGAGCCUCCUUGCAAAUCCCGACAGCAGCUGCAUUCUGGAGUCUCUAUUGUGGUAGCAUGUGGGCACACGGUUUCACCUGAAGCCGUCCCACCCUGGGGAUGAGCUGGGAGCCUGGGGGAUGGCAGGUCACCAGCAGCACAACUUCUUGCUCCCAGCCCACCUGAGGUGCACCUGGAGCAGGGUGGGCAGCAGAAGGUGUCCUUCACACGAAAGAGCUGCAGGGCUUGUGACACCUGCACAGUGCCCGGGGAGCCCACCUUACUGUUGUGGGAAGAGGGGCUCCUGUUUCUGCCACUUUCUGUACAAAAAAUAUAGUUAACAUGCUUUCCUAAGUGUGAAAAGCUCAGCCCAACUUGGGGUCAAAACCAACUUUCAUAAAUGCAAACUAGAGAGAAAAUAUGAUCAGUUUGCUGGGAUCUGUUAUUGGCAAACUAAUACUUUUCAAAGAGUUCUCAACUCUUCACCCAUUCUGUAGAUGCUUAUAAAUUGCUUGUUCGUGUAUUUGUGCCAAAAUCUUUGUGUAAAGGAGAUUAAGCUGAUUGGGUUGUCAUUUCCCACGGCUUCCUUUCAAGAGAGGGUGUGGUGUUUGAUCUCCUCCGGGUCUGCUGUGAAACCUUACAUGCUCUUCUUGAGUGAGGAAAGACUCACAGAAUUUGCUCAACUACGUCUAGCUUGUUUUGUGAGCUUCAGAGGCUGCUCUUACCCAUUCUGACCCAAGGUCCUGCUUCUUUUGAAAAUGAAUUUCAUGCAGUGCUUACUCACAGUUGAUUUUAUUUGUGAAAAUUGAGGCAAAUGUUGACUGUGUUGCAUCCUACUCUUCUGUACAUCAUCUUUGCUGUGCCUCUCUGUUGAACCAUGACUUGCCCUGUUUGCUUUUCAGAUCGUAUUGAAUCUUUUUUUGUUGCCUUUCAUGCUCCUUGCUAAUUGUGAUUCAUCUUCUUCUGUAGCUUUUCUGAUCAUCUCCUUGUGCCUUUGCUGUCUUCAAGCUGUGUGACUUUUGUCUCCGCUUUUUGUAUUAUUUUCUCUAGAUAUUCUGACCCUUAAAAAGCUUAGUGCAAUUGUGAUAGUCUUCCCCUGUGUUGGUAUAUUUUUCUGUAAAGCAGCGUCUGGAUGGUUUAUGGUACCAAGUUCCCACAUUGGUUGUUGAAACGAUGUGAGAAGCUCCCCAACUUCCUGGCAGUGCAGCCGUUGAGCUGUCAGUGAAAAUGCCAUUGAUCUAAACACCCCUUCAUCUAAGGAAGGCCAGAUUCCUUGAGGUGCAUCGAAUAAGUUCCAGGCUUCUUUGUUUACCUGAAAUUUCAUUUUGCCAGGUGGCUUUGUCUUUCAGUCCACUGAUAAACCAGGUUUGACUACAACCACGUUAACUUCCCCGAACUGCCUGCUAAUGGCAAUGGCAUGUGACAGUCUUCUCCACACCCAGAGCUCUUAGGCAGUGUAACUGAGCACUGUUGAAUGGUUUUUCACCCUCGAGGCAGCUGCCUGGUAGUGAGCAGAGCAAUUUUCCUUAUACAGAGCAACAAAAUUGUUCUGGACAGUGCUGUGAGGCCAGGAGAAAUGAAACCUACCCCUGAGCUACCCACUCCGAGUUUGCAGUCAUUAACCCGUCUUAGUCUUGAUGUAGCAACUGCUGUGGGCUCAGUGGAGCUGUAGCUGAUUUAAUGUGUGUAAGCGAAGGGGGAAUCAGGAUCAUUAUGUUAACCACAGGAAAUCUGCUUUUAUGGUGAUGAAAGCAAGAAUCAAUCACAAGUAGCUAAUGAAUUAGCCGGCGGUAUCUGCGAUGCUCAUUUCACAGUAAGUGCAACAGUCAAAAUCCAUUAAGAAGCCCUUUGCGAGGGGGUCCUCUGUGCAGAGGAUGUCUGCUACGUGCGGUGCCCGUGUUGCUGCCCCCACCUUGCCUUUGUCUGAGAAAUACAACCUCUGGUCCAAAUGCACGGCUGGUAGGGAAGGACUUCGAAUUGUCUUAGAGGUCAAAGUGGCUCCUAAUCAGGGCUGUUGUUACUGGAAAGCUGCCCUUUGCAAAGGGCAG
This 32759-nucleotide long non-coding RNA is filed under the name Gallus gallus (chicken). The record is from RNAcentral. Lineage: Eukaryota; Metazoa; Chordata; Aves; Galliformes; Phasianidae.